AUGCCCCCCGGCGCCCCACAGGUACCUCCGGGGGCAGGCUGGGCUCCUCGGGCACCUCCAGCGCUGUGGGGCAGCGCUGUGGGGCAGCGCUAUGGGUCAGCGCUAUGGGGCGGCGCCAUGGGGCAGAGCCCCCCUCGGCCCCACAAGUGUGGGGCAGCGCUCACCCAGAAAGAGCGGCUCCUCCAGGACCUGGGGGUGGGGAAAAGAGGCUUGGUUAUGGGGCGGCUAUGGGGCAGCUAUGGGGCGGCUAUGGGGCGGCUAUGGGGCAGCUAUGGGGCUGCUGUGGGGCAGCUAUGGGGCUGCUGUGGGGUUGCUAUGGGGCUGCUGUGGGGCAGCUAUGGGGCAGCUAUGGGGCUGCUGUGGGGCUGCAGUGGGGUUGCUAUGGGGCAGCUAUGGGGCUGCUGUGGGGUUGCUAUGGGGCAGCUAUGGGGCAGGCACGUGGCACUACGUGGAGCCUAUGGGGCUGCUAUGGGGCAGCUAUAAGACAGCUAUAGGGCAGCUAUAGGGCGGCUAUGGGGCUUCUAUGGGGCCAAAGUGGGGCAGCUACGGGGCGGAAGUGGGGCAGCUAUAGAGCAACUAUGGGGCCAAAGUGGGGCAGCUAUGGGGUGGAAGUGGGGCAGCUAUAGAGCAACUAUGGGGCCAAAGUGGGGCAGUGAUAGGACCAAAGUGGGGCAACUAUGGGGCAGCUAUGGGGCCAAAGUGGGGCAGCUAUAGGGCAACUAUGGGGCAGCUAUGGGGCUGAAGUGUGGCAGCUAUACGGCAAGUAUGGGGCUGCUAUGGGGCAGCUAUGGGGUGGCUAUGGGGCAGCUAUGGGGUGGCUAUGGGGCAGCUGUGGGGUGGCUAUGGGGCAGCUAUGGGGCAGCUAUAGGGUGGCUAUGGGGCAGCUAUGGGGCAGCUAUAGGGCAAGUAUGGUGCAGCUAUAGGGCUGAAGUGGGACAGCUAUAGGGCAACUAUGGGGCCAAAAAGGGGCAGCUAUAGGGCAAGUAUGGAGCAGCUAUGGGGCAGCUAUGGGGCCGCUAUAACGCUGCUACAGGGCAGCUAUGGGGUGGCUGUAGGGCAGCUAUGGGGCAACUAUGGGGCGGCUGUGGGGCGGCUAUAGAGCAGUUAUGGGGCGGCUACGGGGCGGCUGUGGGGCAGCAAUGGGGCAACUAUGGGGUGGCUGUGGGGUGGCUGUGGGGUGGCUGUGGGGCGGCUAUAGGGCAGUUGGCUAUGGGGCGGCUAUGGGGCAGCUAUGGGGUGGCUACGGGCCGACUAUGGGGCAGCUGUGGGGCGGCUGUGGGGCGGCUCUGGGGUGGGGAUGGGGUGUGGGGUGGCUAUGGGUCAGCUAUGGGUCAGCUAUGGAGCGACUAUGGGUCAGCUAUGGGGUGGCUAUGGGGCGGCUAUGGGUCAGCUAUGGGGCGGCUAUGGGUCAGCCGUGGGGCGGCUAUGGGGUGGCUAUCGGUCAGCUAAGGGGUGGCUAUGGGUCAGC
RNAcentral lists this long non-coding RNA (1468 nucleotides) under Numida meleagris (helmeted guineafowl). Its description in RNAcentral is "lncRNA (ENSNMEG00000000953.1)". Lineage: Eukaryota; Metazoa; Chordata; Aves; Galliformes; Numididae. The record is from RNAcentral.